GACGUAGGGUGCGAGCGUUGUCCGGAUUUAUUGGGCGUAAAGAGCUCGUAGGCGGCUCGUCGCGUCGGCUGUGAAAACCCGCGGCUUAACUGUGGGCUUGCAGCUGAUACGGGCGGGCUAGAGUUCGGUAGGGGAGACUGGAAUUCCUGGUGUAGCGGUGAAAUGCGCAGAUAUCAGGAGGAACACCGGUGGCGAAGGCGGGUCUCUGGGCCGAUACUGACGCUGAGGCGCGAAAGCCAGGGGAGCGAACGGG
Molecule: ribosomal RNA, 253 nt
Filed under: uncultured bacterium
Lineage: Bacteria
Description: partial 16S ribosomal RNA
Rfam family: Bacterial small subunit ribosomal RNA
Source: RNAcentral